This 73-nucleotide transfer RNA is filed under the name Paramuricea clavata. It matches the Rfam family "tRNA". From Rfam's summary of the family: Transfer RNA (tRNA) molecules are approximately 80 nucleotides in length. Lineage: Eukaryota; Metazoa; Cnidaria; Anthozoa; Malacalcyonacea; Plexauridae. The record is from Rfam by way of RNAcentral.
GACCACAUAGCUCAGUUGGCAGAGCAUUGGGCUAGUAUUCCAAAGGUCGUAGGUUCGAUUCCCACCGUGGCUA